Molecule: long non-coding RNA, 995 nt
Organism: Gastrolobium bilobum
Lineage: Eukaryota; Viridiplantae; Streptophyta; Magnoliopsida; Fabales; Fabaceae
Exons: 3
Source: RefSeq, a predicted model, not a curated record
AAAAAUUGGUCUCCCCUCUCAUUUCAACCAUACGAAGCUAGGGAGGAACACAGAGAAGAAUCAUUAACACUACAUACUUCCAUCAACUCCUUUCCUUCCCUCGAAACCGUGAGCCACUAGAGGAUGAAUCGAAGUUUGCAUGAUUCUCCUUUCCAUCUUUAUUGAACCGUGAGAAAAGGGGGAAAACAAAAUCAUCUUCCCUCUGCCUUCUUUCCCAGUACAACCGUGUAACCACCUAGAAGGAAACGGUCACCUUAGUUCAACAUUUUUCCUCUCUGUUCGAUCCUACAUGCAAACAGCCAAGGAGAUUGAAGCCUAAGCAUAGUUUCUUUCUUCUUGUCCAGCCGUGGACCAACAUCCAUGGAGAUAGAAACACAAGCAUGAACCCUUCCUUUUCCACUUCCUUGUUCGGCUGUGUGUACCGUUGAGGAGCAUUGGGCGGGCCACUCUUUCCUUGCAUGUAGAUGGAACCGGUCUUGCGGAGCAAAAGAAAAGGGCCAAAGUUGUACCAUUCUUCGAUGGCUGAACCAUUAGUUCCAAGAGAGGCGUGAAAGGUUUUUCUCUGAUUUCUUGUUGCCGUUGGACUCAUCACUAAUUUGAUGGAGCCUUCCCCUUACUACUUUUCUUAACCGUGAAUGAAGGACCUCAUCAUCAAGUCCACAUUUUUAUCUCUUUUCUCGGUUCCAGCCGAGUCUUCAAGUCCUAGGAGAGGUGCGUAUGCCUUGUGAGAUGUUGGAUCAUAAUUUCCUCUGCUGCCUAGUAAAUUAUCUGUAACGUUUGAGGAGGACGAAAGAGCAUUUGAGGGCAUGGAUGUUUCGAAUUUGCUGUUAUUCUGCUGCUGUUUGGAUUAUUUGCUAUUGACUGCUUUAUUCCUCGGAUGACUGUAUUAUAUGCUACUUGGUGAACUUUGGAUGACUGUAUGACUGUGAAUUAUUUACUGUUUUAGAACUCUCAUGAACAGCGGCUACUUUGAGAAAAUCUGAAAACGUUUUGCG